AGUGAACGCUGGCGGUAGGCCUAACACAUGCAAGUCGAACGGCAGCACAGUAAGAGCUUGCUCUUACGGGUGGCGAGUGGCGGACGGGUGAGGAAUACAUCGGAAUCUACUUUUUCGUGGGGGAUAACGUAGGGAAACUUACGCUAAUACCGCAUACGACCUACGGGUGAAAGCAGGAGAUCUUCGGACCUUGCGCGAUUGAAUGAGCCGAUGUCGGAUUAGCUAGUUGGCGGGGUAAAGGCCCACCAAGGCGACGAUCCGUAGCUGGUCUGAGAGGAUGAUCAGCCACACUGGAACUGAGACACGGUCCAGACUCCUACGGGAGGCAGCAGUGGGGAAUAUUGGACACUGGGCGCAAGCCUGAUCCAGCCAUACCGCGUGGGUGAAGAAGGCCUUCGGGUUGUAAAGCCCUUUUGUUGGGAAAGAAAAGCAGCAGGUUAAUCCCCCGCUGUUCUGACGGUACCCAAAGAAUAAGCACCGGCUAACUUCGUG
Molecule: ribosomal RNA, 492 nt
Filed under: uncultured bacterium
Lineage: Bacteria
Description: partial 16S ribosomal RNA
Rfam family: Bacterial small subunit ribosomal RNA
Source: RNAcentral